Molecule: long non-coding RNA, 911 nt
Organism: Piliocolobus tephrosceles (Ugandan red Colobus)
Lineage: Eukaryota; Metazoa; Chordata; Mammalia; Primates; Cercopithecidae
Exons: 7
Source: RefSeq, a predicted model, not a curated record
UGUCAUAAACGGCUCCUGGGGUCUGAAAAAACGACAGCAGGAUUCAGCGUUCCUCUGACAACCACUCAGAAAAUAGAAUGUGAAGAAGAAGGAGGAAGGGAAGAUGCGGGGCCAGCCAUCAGAAUGUUCCCUGUGGCUCCAUGGAUGCCUAGAAAUGCUAGUCACUUCAAGGGCACAGAGAAAGGGACUAGAAAAUCCUCUGGAUGGGCCUUCAAAGGUCACUGAGCAGGACUCCCAAAGGCCACCACUGCUGUCCAGCACCCCUCUCAAUGCAGCUACUCCCAGCGGGUUGUGGAACCACUCUCUCCUGUGUCUUCAAGUAUAGAGGUGGAAACAGCUGUCUGCUGUUGCUUGCACCAAGGCUUAAAAGCAUGACUGGGAGGCCUCAGGAAACUCACAAUCAUGGUGGAAGGUGAAAGGAAAGAAAGCACCUCUUACCAUGGCAGAACAGCAGAGAGAGAAAGCGAAGGGAUGAAGAAAUGAAGACAUGGAAAAGUUAUGUAACUUGUGGAAAAUCAUACGGAUUGAAAUGACCAAACUGGGAUUUGAAUGGAAGUUGGUUCUAAGCCCAUGACCUCGAAAAGGGAGGGCUUUUUCUAAUGCUGCCACAUCCUAGCUGCGUUGUCUUCACCAAGAUGGAGAACUGAAAAGGCAUCAGGGGAUAGAAGAAAUGAAAUUGGAUGUUUCCUCGGAGUUAAGUUGAGUCCAAAGCUCAUACCUCUUGCCACAUGACGACAAGUGGAGCGACAAAGUAUAAGGCCAAGGAAGGUGACUUUAUUGCAGAGAAACAGCACAACCACACCAUUCUCAACAUGUUAUUCACUGAUUUUAAAAAAUUAUAGCCAACGUAGUAGGUGUGAAGUUUUAUCUCGUUGUAGUUUUGAUUUGUGUUUCUCUAAUGACUAAUGAUA